GAGACACCCCUAUGGAGCAGGACUUACUUCAGUGGGGCUUUGGCGUUCACUGAAUCUGUCCCUUUAGUGUGUCACU
This is a non-coding RNA of Myotis davidii, 76 nucleotides long. The record is from Rfam. NCBI's taxonomy places the organism in Eukaryota, Metazoa, Chordata, Mammalia, Chiroptera, Vespertilionidae.